GGAACUUGUGUUCAAGCCUUCUCAUCUCAUCUCAUCCAACAGGGCAGGGCAAGCAUAUCAUAUAUAUCAAGCUAUCAUAAAUGGCAAAAAUCAAUGAAAUAAUUGUGACGGUGCUUUUAUCUGUAGCUCACAUGUAAAUAUAACAAAGAUAGAAUACCACAAAUAGUAAGACUUUCUAAACACAAAAACAUUUAAACACCAUUCAUACUUUUCAGCA
This 217-nucleotide long non-coding RNA is filed under the name Elaeis guineensis (African oil palm). RNAcentral's name for it is "long non-coding RNA (EGUI_LNC023317)". Lineage: Eukaryota; Viridiplantae; Streptophyta; Magnoliopsida; Arecales; Arecaceae. The record is from RNAcentral.